Molecule: long non-coding RNA, 592 nt
Organism: Entelurus aequoreus (snake pipefish)
Lineage: Eukaryota; Metazoa; Chordata; Actinopteri; Syngnathiformes; Syngnathidae
Exons: 3
Source: RefSeq, a predicted model, not a curated record
UAAAGUAUAUAAACGAUUCGAAUGACAUUUAGUCAGAUGUGCUGUGUGGAAACAGUUAUUAGCGUUGUAUAUACAGUUAAAAAAAUGCACAUGUGAUGUCAAAAUGUUGUUAAAGGUCACUUUUUAAAUGCUGUGCUAGGCUAUGCUAGCUGCUCACUGAGAUACGAGAAAGGAGCGCACCUGCACGCGCCACUCCUGCAGAAGCUGCGCCGGUGCACAGCUGCAAUCAAUCAGCACUCAUCACACCCGUCGUUGAUGAGCGUCCUGGGCUUCUUAAGCCAGUGCAGACCUGCGUUCCGGGCCAGAACGUAGUUUCCUGUUUUGUACACAGACUUCCGUUCUCGCGUCACAAGCUGUGUGUCUCGUCUCCCCGUCUCCCUGACUGCCUCUUGGAUCUCGACCUCCCGCCUGGACACAGACUUUUGACGCCUCGCUAUCGCCCCCGACUUCCUGCCUGUGCUCACAGACCUACGAGCCUGCCUCGCCCCUAUUGGACUUCCGCGCCUCUCGUUCAACACUACCGGUAACACACUACAGUUAAUUCACAUACACAUACAUACAUACAUACACACCCUUAUGGCUUAGUCACACU